UCCAGCGGUCCCCCGCGUUGUUCGGCUUCACUGGGCGUAAAGGGUGCGUAGGCGGUCGGGUAAGUCUGACGUGAAAUCUUCGAGCCUAACUCGGAAACUGCGUCGGAUACUAUUCGGCUAGAGGAAUGGAGGGGAGACUGGAAUACUUGGUGUAGCAGUGAAAUGCGUAGAUAUCAAGUGGAACACCAGUGGCGAAGGCGAGUCUCUGGACAUUUCCUGACGCUGAGGCACGAAAGCCAGGGGAGCAAACGGG
RNAcentral lists this ribosomal RNA (253 nucleotides) under uncultured bacterium. Its description in RNAcentral is "partial 16S ribosomal RNA". It matches the Rfam family "Bacterial small subunit ribosomal RNA", at positions 524 to 776 of the family's 1533-position model. The record is from RNAcentral.